This is a long non-coding RNA of Malaclemys terrapin pileata, 244 nucleotides long. RefSeq lists it as uncharacterized. Lineage: Eukaryota; Metazoa; Chordata; Testudines; Emydidae. The record is from RefSeq and is a predicted model, not a curated record. The transcript is spliced from 3 exons.
UCUUGCUCCAAUGUCUGGAUCACCUCCAAAGCCCCCAGGCUCCAAUACGACGGGCAGCAGCCAUCUUUAUCGGUUGCACUGUUCAAAGCUCAGAGCCCGCCAUGGUCAGGCAAGAGAAGGAGCUGAUACUUCAGUCUCUCAGUGGCCUGCAGCAAGAUCCGGAUUCCUCUGUCCGUGUCAGUGUCUCACGGGCCAUUCAGCAAGUUCGGGAUGGUGGCAGAAACCAGUCACGUCAGACCCUAGG